Molecule: non-coding RNA, 1498 nt
Organism: Triticum urartu
Lineage: Eukaryota; Viridiplantae; Streptophyta; Magnoliopsida; Poales; Poaceae
Source: RefSeq, a predicted model, not a curated record
CUAAUCCAAUCCCGAUCAAGGCGCGGCGGGGCGACCGCAUACUCCUGAUUCGGUUGCUUCCAAAAAAAAGUCCCGAUUGGAGGCGCAGCGGGAGCGACCGCAUCGAAUCCAUCCACUCCGGAUCCGAGGCGCAGAGAGGAUCCAAUGCAUCCAGUCCGUGAAUCGCUGUCCGACUGUUCGUCUCUUGAAACUGCUACCGUGGGUUUGAAGGAAGUAAUCACUCUUCAGUUUCUCUCCAACCAUUCAUGGCGGAUGAUGUGCGCCCCUCGCGGUCAUUAAUGGAUGCCUGGGUCUUUGUUUCUCAUUCUUCCGCUGUGUAUAUAUGCUUCAUCUACCCUCAAUCUUCUAACUCCGGCGACAGAACAUCCAUCAGCAUGGUGCUCUUCUAGGCUCCCCUCUAUCUUUAUUUUUUAUCAUCCAUGUACGAUAUUUGCUUCUUCCACCCAACGAUUACAUUGUAUCCUCCCAAUCUAAUUUUGUGCAGGUAUUGUUCAAACUGGGAGAUGGCCGAUUGAUUCGGCCAGAUAUUGGAAACUGGCUCUCGCUUUUUUUUUCUGAAAUUCUUUAGGUGAUAGUUCUAAUGGCUUCUGGGCAGGUAAUUACUUCACUUGGACUACCAGAUUUCAUUUUAUCGAUUCAUGUUUUACCAUCCAUGUUUUUACAGCAUAGAAGAUUACUCAUAUAUCUGUUAUCCACACCAUGGUUCUUCUAUUUGUUGCUGUACGCAACAGGUUAAGUGGAACAGUGUAGUUAUAUGCGCAAAAGAAUGUAGCCAUACUGUUAUAGACGGGGGUGAAGCCUCAGUAUCUUCUUCUAUGCAGAAGUGAGCAAAGCCCAAUAAUCUUACCAAUAUUUGGAAGUAUGUGUGUGGAUUUUCAAGACAUGGUAAGAUGCACUUGGUUCAGUCUGGGGGCAGUGAUGUCAGCAAAUCAUUGGAAGAGUUCAGUAAGUGCAGUCUGUAUUUCAUUAUUUUUCUUACAAGGGAAGGCAUCACGGCAUAUAAUAAAUAAGUGAAGACCAUCGGACAGGCAAUGUUAUUCUUUUCAGUGCUCUCCGCUGUGUCCGUGAUCGGAUUUGUGUGCAUAAAGAAGUGGAUGAACCUGUAACAUGUGUUCAUCACAUAAGAUCAUCAUAACAACCUUCCUUUUGGCAGGGGAGGGGCUAUUUUAGUUACAACCUGAGGCACAACGAGCAGGAGGAGUUGGCCAACUGGCGUGCUAGAUUAAGGGCAUGUUUGCCUAAGCACUUUUAUUAGUUCCGUUGAUAAUACCAGGACUGGAGAACUGAAAGCCCUUGUAGAUGCAAGAGGUGUGCUAUUAAACCAAAAAAUUAAGUGCACAACAUAAUACUAUUACAUAGUUCACGUGGUUACCCAAAUACUUAGCAUUUUCUCUACCCAAAUAUGAGUGUAAUGUUUCAGAUCAUAUAUUCCCAGUAUUAUUAAGACAUCAUGUAUGUGAAGUUAUUUGUGCUAUUCCAAUGCUAUUUUUUGCAAAUC